Molecule: ribosomal RNA, 424 nt
Filed under: uncultured bacterium
Lineage: Bacteria
Description: bacterial SSU rRNA
Rfam family: Bacterial small subunit ribosomal RNA
Source: RNAcentral
UAAGGAAUAUUGGACAAUGGGCGCAAGCCUGAUCCAGCCAUGCCGCGUGCAGGAUGACGGCCCUAUGGGUUGUAAACUGCUUUUGUACGGGAAAAAACCCUUCUACGUGUAGAAGGCUGAUGGUACCGUAAGAAUAAGGAUCGGCUAACUCCGUGCCAGCAGCCGCGGUAAUACGGAGGAUCCAAGCGUUAUCCGGAUUCAUUGGGUUUAAAGGGUGCGUAGGCGGAAUGAUAAGUCAGUGGUGAAAUCCUGCAGCUUAACUGCAGAACUGCCUCUGAUACUGUCAAUCUUGAGUACAUUUGAUGUGGGCGGAAUGUGUCAUGUAGCGGUGAAAUGCAUAGAUAUGACACAGAACACCGAUUGCGAAGGCAGCUCACAAAACUGUAACUGACGCUGAGGCACGAAAGCGUGGGGAUCGAACAGG